UGAGGAAUAUUGGGCAAUGGGCGAAAGCCUGACCCAGCAACGCCGCGUGAGGGACGAAGGCCUUCGGGUUGUAAACCUCUUUUCUGAGGGAAGAGAUCAGGACGGUACCUCAGGAAUAAGUCUCGGCUAACUACGUGCCAGCAGCCGCGGUAAGACGUAGGAGGCGAGCGUUAUCCGGAUUUACUGGGCGUAAAGCGCACGCAGGCGGCUUCGUUAGUCGGAUGUGAAAGCUCCUGGCUUAACUGGGAGAGGCCAUUCGAUACUGCGAGGCUUGAGGUUGGAAGAGGAGUGUGGAAUUCCCGGUGUAGUGGUGGAAUGCGUAGAUAUCGGGAGGAACACCUGUGGCGAAAGCGGCACUCUGGUCCACACCUGACGCUGAGGUGCGAAAGCGUGGGGAGCAAACA
Molecule: ribosomal RNA, 404 nt
Filed under: uncultured Chloroflexota bacterium
Lineage: Bacteria; Bacillati; Chloroflexota
Description: uncultured Chloroflexi bacterium partial 16S ribosomal RNA
Rfam family: Bacterial small subunit ribosomal RNA
Source: RNAcentral